GAUCCUGGCUCAGGAUGAACGCUGGCGGCGUGCUUAACACAUGCAAGUCGAACGGAGUUUUAAACCGAAGUUUCGGAUGGAAGUUAGAAACUAGUGGCGGACGGGUGAGUAACGCGUGGGUAACCUGCCUCAUACAGGGGGAUAACAGUUAGAAAUGACUGCUAACACCGCAUAAUAUAGCGAAACCGCAUGAUUUUGCUAUCAAAUAUUUAUAGGUAUGAGAUGGGCCCGCGUCUGAUUAGCUAGUUGGUGGGGUAAAAGCCUACCAAGGCGACGAUCAGUAGCCGGCUUGAGAGAGUGACCGGCCACAUUGGGACUGAGACACGGCCCAAACUCCUACGGGAGGUAGCAGUGGGGAAUAUUGGACAAUGGGGGAAACCCUGAUCCAGCCGACGCCGCGUGAGUGAAGAAGUAUUUCGGUAUGUAAAGCUCUAUCAGCAGGGAAGAUAAUGACAGUACCUGACUAAGAAGCCCCGGCUAACUACGUGCCAGCAGCGGC
RNAcentral lists this ribosomal RNA (499 nucleotides) under uncultured bacterium. RNAcentral's name for it is "bacterial SSU rRNA". It matches the Rfam family "Bacterial small subunit ribosomal RNA", at positions 15 to 518 of the family's 1533-position model. The record is from RNAcentral.